RNAcentral lists this ribosomal RNA (173 nucleotides) under uncultured bacterium. RNAcentral describes it as "partial 16S ribosomal RNA". It matches the Rfam family "Bacterial small subunit ribosomal RNA", at positions 1330 to 1500 of the family's 1533-position model. The record is from RNAcentral.
AGUUGCUAGUAAUCGCGAAUCAGAAUGUCGCGGUGAAUGCGUUCCCGGGUCUUGUACACACCGCCCGUCACACCAUGGGAGUCGGAAAUGCCCGAAGUCUGUGACCCAACCUGAGAGGGAGGGAGCAGCCGAAGGCAGGUCUGAUGACUGGGGUGAAGUCGUAACAAGGUACC